AUUGAACGCUGGCGGCAGGCCUAACACAUGCAAGUCGAGCGCGAAAGUUCUUCGGAAUGAGUAAAGCGGCGGACGGGUGAGUAACACAUGGGAAUCUGCCUGGUAGUGGGGGACAACGUUUCGAAAGGAACGCUAAUACCGCAUACGCCCUACGGGGGAAAGGGGGGGAGUCGCAAGACCUCUCGCUAUCAGAUGAGCCC
RNAcentral lists this ribosomal RNA (200 nucleotides) under uncultured bacterium. RNAcentral's name for it is "partial 16S ribosomal RNA". It matches the Rfam family "Bacterial small subunit ribosomal RNA", at positions 30 to 232 of the family's 1533-position model. The record is from RNAcentral.